GGACGGUUGCCUGAGAGGCUGAAAGGACUCAGCUUAUACCUGAGCAAAGCGUGGCACGCUUUCAGAGGUUCGAAUCCUCUACCGUCCG
This 88-nucleotide transfer RNA is filed under the name Planctomycetes bacterium RBG_13_44_8b. RNAcentral's name for it is "tRNA-Ile". It matches the Rfam family "tRNA". Rfam says of the family: Transfer RNA (tRNA) molecules are approximately 80 nucleotides in length. Lineage: Bacteria; Pseudomonadati; Planctomycetota. The record is from RNAcentral.